CGUGAGGAACCUGCCUUGGAGAGGGGAAUAACACUCCGAAAGGAGUGCUAAUACCGCAUGAUGCAGUUGGGUCGCAUGGCUCUGACUGCCAAAGAUUUAUCGCUCUGAGAUGGCCUCGCGUCUGAUUAGCUAGUAGGCGGGGUAACGGCCCACCUAGGCGACGAUCAGUAGCCGGACUGAGAGGUUGACCGGCCACAUUAGGACUGAGACACGGCCCAGACUCCUACGGGAGGCAGCAUG
RNAcentral lists this ribosomal RNA (240 nucleotides) under uncultured bacterium. Its description in RNAcentral is "partial 16S ribosomal RNA". It matches the Rfam family "Bacterial small subunit ribosomal RNA", at positions 116 to 353 of the family's 1533-position model. The record is from RNAcentral.